CAGUCGCCGCGGGAAUACGUAGGUGGCAAGCGUUGUCCGGAAUUAUUGGGCGUAAAGCGCGUGCAGGCGGAUAGGUCAGUCUGUCUUAAAAGUUCGGGGCUUAACCCCGUGAUGGGAUGGAAACUGCCAAUCUAGAGUAUCGGAGAGGAAAGUGGAAUUCCUAGUGUAGCGGUGAAAUGCGUAGAUAUUAGGAAGAACACCAGUGGCGAAGGCGACUUUCUGGACGAAAACUGACGCUGAGGCGCGAAAGCCAGGGGAGCGAACGGGAUUAGAUACCCGGGUAGUCCCUGUCUCUUAUACA
This 301-nucleotide ribosomal RNA is filed under the name uncultured bacterium. RNAcentral's name for it is "partial 16S ribosomal RNA". It matches the Rfam family "Bacterial small subunit ribosomal RNA", at positions 509 to 809 of the family's 1533-position model. The record is from RNAcentral.